UAAUCACCAAAUUUCCUUGUCAAUUCCGUUAUAAUGAACUCUCCUCAGGGGUUUGAAAAUAAGCAUCUUUCAGUCUUUUCAUGGGUAGCUAUUGUUUUACUCUGAAGCUUUUACAAAAAUGUUCCCACAAAAGUACCUGAGCUUCAAGAAGAUUCAUGGAGAGGACUUUUGACAAAUAUAGGUUUGUGAUACCUUGAAGAGCAUAAAACCAAACUAGGACACAACUGAAGGCACUGGCUAUAUUACCAAGACUUUGACUGAAAUGGUAUUUCAGAUAAAUCUGACGGCCAGUCCUUGACUUGGCUUCCUGGCCUCAGAGGCAAUGACAGUUCAAUCUGAGACGCCUUAUGAAAAGUUCCAGCAAAUCAGUCUUAAAAAGAACUUACAAGGUCAAUCAAUAUUUCUGCUACAUGUGUGUGAGUAACCAGGCCAAGUUUAAUGCAAACGAAUUAGUUUUAUCUUUAGUAAAAAAAAAAAAAUGGGGAUACUUGUAGAGAGAUGGGGCAUGUAGAGAGAAAAAAUAUGUUUGCACCUUUUUCUACAUUAGAUUCUAGCCCUGUUAAUUGUCUUUGAGGUUUGGCUAUAUACCUGUAAACUAGGCUGGAUCCUGAAUUCUCCUGGUUUCCUCAAAUAUCUGGCUACAACUCUUCAACCUAUCAUUUCCAAUUUUGUCCCACUCAUCUGAUUUGGAAUCACUAAAGAACGAAGACUGCUCCUAAAUCUCCUUGGAAGGGACUAUAAGAAGUCUUUCCCAUUACCGGGAUGGCAGCCAAACUUCAGGGACUUGAGCCUUGACUGCACAUCGGACAUCUGAAGGAGGUUUUUCCCUGACAUCCAGUCCUGUGCAAGUCCUGGAGGCUUCCAAAUCAAAUUGACGAGGAAGACAGUGAUCUGACAUCAAGAGGGGCAAGACCACUAAAUAUGGAAAACCUGACUCCCAAUCGAUGCUUUGAAAGAAAGAUCUUGAUCAAAAGAGGGAAAUGUGAAACUGAAUAGAGGAAACCUCAUUUAAAAGGGAGUCAGGAGACCAGAAGGGGAGCUCUCAUGUUGAAUCAUUUGUCCCUCGCAGACCCCAGCAGGAAGAAAUGUACCUUGCAAUACCAGCAGGAAGAAGCCUACUUUACCACCUCAGAAGGAGGAAGGGAGAAUUUCUCCUGACCUAGCAACAAGCUCAGCCAAUAAGAAAAUACCACAGCUCAGCCAAUGAGAAACCAUCACUACCCUGAACUCUCAUUUUCCUCCAAUGGAUUUCAUUCAUGCAGCCCCUCCCAACUUCCUUCUCUUCUCUACAAAGUAACCUUCUUUUCCUUUGAUUUUUCAACUGUGCUAUGGUUUGCCAUAGCUUUUGUGUCCUGAACUGCAAUUUCUCUGCUAUUCCUCAAUAAACUUAUUC
Acinonyx jubatus (cheetah) is the source of this 1393-nucleotide long non-coding RNA. RefSeq lists it as uncharacterized. The transcript has 3 exons. Lineage: Eukaryota; Metazoa; Chordata; Mammalia; Carnivora; Felidae. The record is from RefSeq and is a predicted model, not a curated record.